RNAcentral lists this ribosomal RNA (380 nucleotides) under uncultured eukaryote. RNAcentral describes it as "partial 18S ribosomal RNA". It matches the Rfam family "Eukaryotic small subunit ribosomal RNA", at positions 592 to 976 of the family's 1831-position model. The record is from RNAcentral.
CAAUAGCGUAUAUUAAAGUUGUUGCAGUUAAAAAGCUCGUAGUUGGAUUUGUGGCGUACGGUGUGUUCCGGGCACUUGUUGUCUGAGUAACCUGCUGUUGCCAUCCUUGGGUGGAACCUGUGUGGCAUUAGGUUGUCGUGCAGGGGAUGCCCAUCAUUUACUGUGAAAAAAUUAGAGUGUUCAAAGCAGGCUUAUGCCGUUGAAUAUAUUAGCAUGGAAUAAUGAGAUAGGACUUUUUUGCUAUUUUGUUGGUUUGCGCAAGAAGGUAAUGAUUAAUAGGGACAGUUGGGCGUAUUCGUAUUCCAUUGUCAGAGGUGAAAUUCUUGGAUUUUUGGAAGACGAACUACUGCGAAAGCAUUUACCAAGGAUGUUUUCAUUAA